Oncorhynchus keta (chum salmon) is the source of this 932-nucleotide long non-coding RNA. RefSeq lists it as uncharacterized. Lineage: Eukaryota; Metazoa; Chordata; Actinopteri; Salmoniformes; Salmonidae. The transcript has 3 exons. The record is from RefSeq and is a predicted model, not a curated record.
AUGUGUUGAAAUUCAUACUUUUUAAAUAUUUUUUUAAUUGAAAGCAAACACCGAAUUUUCCUGAGAGUUCAAUUUAGCGCGAAUGCGCUUGUGCCAAUUGAAUAUCUGUGUUGAGCACCACAAAAUUAGGAAAACGUCGGUUGUUGUAUUCCAGUGUUUCCCAACCAGGGGUACUUGAGAAGACUCAUGAGGCCAUAGGCUUAUUGGUAAAGUGCACAUGAGGGGGUACUUCAAAGGUACCCUGGGCAGAGCAAAAUGUACUUGAUGUUACAGUAAACGAAAAAGGUUGGGAAUCAAAGUUUGAAGAGAUGUCCACCAGCAUAAUACCUGAGACUCUACUAUUCACUGUUUUAUCUGCGGCCAUUUGAUGAAUGGAAAGAGGCAUCUAUUACAACACACCAAAAAGUUGAAUGACAUUCGGAGAUUGUCAAGCCAAGCCUUCGAUACUGGGUAGGCAUACAAGGUAGGGAGGGAUGUAUUUUCCAUUAGUCGAGAUUUACAUAGCCUAUUUAUUGUGGUGUUGAAAACGCAAACCAUUAUAUUGAAGCGCCCAAAGUCGGUAUGAUUUGUUUAUUGGUUGUGUGAAAAAUGUGUUGCAUAUAUUUUAUAUAAUUGUAAAUAUGCCAUCAAAAUGUUGAAAAUCUGAUGUCUCCCUAGCCUAGCUGAUCAUUGUCUGCAGCCGGCUCUGAUCAUAAUGUAGGCCUAAUGAAAAGGGGAGAGUGAGAAAUAAGACCCCUCUUAUGACUGUGAUGGAACAUUUUAUUGGUUGUGCUUUUCUAAUAACUGAUUUCUGUGUUCGUGCAUGUGACUGAUUGAACGAAUCCUCAUUAUCAGUAUCUGCAAUUUGGCAGCACGCCCAGAACCUUGUUUUGAGAAAGGGAUAUCUCAGUUUCAAGGUCUCAGCUUGGAGAGAAGAAGCCUCGUGAGGUAUU